Molecule: ribosomal RNA, 262 nt
Filed under: uncultured bacterium
Lineage: Bacteria
Description: partial 16S ribosomal RNA
Rfam family: Bacterial small subunit ribosomal RNA
Source: RNAcentral
GUCCACGCCGUAAACGAUGGAUGCUAGCCGUUGGUAAGCAUGCUUAUCAGUGGCGCAGCUAACGCAUUAAGCGUCCCGCCUGGGGAGUACGGCCGCAAGGUUGAAACUCAAAGGAAUUGACGGGGGCCCGCACAAGCGGUGGAGCAUGUGGUUUAAUUCGACGCAACGCGCAGAACCUUACCAGGGUUUGACAUCCCGCGCUAAACCCAGAGAUGGGUGGUCCCCGCAAGGGGCGCGGAGACAGGUGCUGCAUGGCUGUCGU